RNAcentral lists this long non-coding RNA (419 nucleotides) under Helianthus annuus (common sunflower). Its description in RNAcentral is "hypothetical non coding rna". The record is from RNAcentral. Lineage: Eukaryota; Viridiplantae; Streptophyta; Magnoliopsida; Asterales; Asteraceae.
GUUUUCUCUCAACACCAUGUAUGAUCUUAACAGUCCACCCUCUGAUGUUGAUAUUGGCGUUGAACCAUCUUUAACGUUUCUGCAAACAUCAAUGUUCAUCACAAUUAUGGGGUUGAUUUGAACAUUAAUGUUCAUGGUGUUAAUGAGGAGUCUUUGCAUAUGUCUAUUUCCUCUGAGUUUAGUUCCCUAUGCCUGUUUCGUCCCAGAGAUCCCAGCUUUGGUGGCUUCAUUCUUGGCGCAAGAUCAUCAUAGGUUGCAAAGUUAUAAUGGUAACUGGGUAUGUCUUUGUCAAGUAAAGGUGUAAAAGUAGCCUUUUCCUAAUUUUCAGUGAUGCGACAUGUGGUACCGAUGGCAUGUAUUGGCGUUGUGGAGAUAAGACAUACUUGUCAACCGUGUAACAAUGUUGUACAUUGAUAAUU